RNAcentral lists this long non-coding RNA (25058 nucleotides) under Setaria viridis. Its description in RNAcentral is "long non-coding RNA (SVIR_LNC000286)". Lineage: Eukaryota; Viridiplantae; Streptophyta; Magnoliopsida; Poales; Poaceae. The record is from RNAcentral.
GCUGCCCAGGCUUCCUCCGUCCAUCGAUGUGAUAUUCAUUGAUGAUGCGGCGAAGGAAGGAAUGGUGGGGAAGGCGACGACGGCAUCUACUCCGGUGGCGGAGGUGGAGACGGCGGCGCUUGUCCCGGGGGUUGAGACAGAGGCGGUGUGUGACGACCGACCCCAAAAUCUUCCGAGGUAAUCUUAAUCCGAGCCCCUGAUCACCUAUCUUAGUUUUCCAAGCCUAAGUGUUCAACCUCCCGACCGGUCCCGACCCCUGAGACCCGACCCCUCUCCACUGGCCUCCAGUUUCGACCCCGCCGACCCCAACUCACCGCCGGAUCUUUCUGAGUCAUCCCCCAACACCUCCCUUUAAUCUGACCGGUGGGCCCACGAGAUCUUUUCUCCCAGAUCCCCCGCGACAGGCGCACUCGAGUUGCAUGCUCGCUUCAAAGUUCCCCCGCCGCGUGGCUCAACUCCUCUGACGUCCGCCGCUCCGCCUCGUCUUCGGCCCGCGACCAAAUGGAUUCUCGCGCCCUCCUCCCCAAUCGCAGCGGAAGCCCCUCUGCAACCUUUCUACAGCACCUCGCGGCCCGCGCCCAUCAUCACAUCGCCAGAUCCCGGCCGCAGAGCCCGAUGUCGCCCGUCUUUUCCAUCACCUCGCCACAGUCGCGCCGCCUGGUCUUCGCUACCCGACGAUUCCCCCUCCGCCAACCCCGACCACGGCAGCGACAACUCCUUUUCCCGCCCUGUCAGAGGCCGCUCGACAAUCUGUUGCUCCGUGCUCGCCCGCGCACCCGCAGCCGCCUGUCUUCUCACCUGUGCGCCCUCGUUCCUAGUGCCAUUAUCCUGGUCACUUCCAUCAGCUCCACCGCACGACGACGCCCACCUCCGCCAAAUCUCAACCACCGGCAAACCCGCGCCUGCGCCGCCCUGACGCCAGAGCCCAAUGACCGCUGGCGUCAUCCCCGAAGUCCUGCUCCACCGCCCUCGUCGCUCAAUCACCACCUGGGCAGAGCACUCCAUUGCUUCCUCCCCGGCCUUCGCGCCGCUCCCCUUCUCACUCCAGCGCCGCUAUAAAAGGGAAUGUGUGAGCCCCACCGGAGUCCCCUUCGCCAUCGCUACCCUUCCGCCAUUCCUCUUGCUCCCUGUUCGAGCUCCCAGCGCCACCACACUAAGUUCCUGAGGGACUCUCCUCUCCGCUCCACACCAUUUUCCCCAAUCCACCCAGCAGCUUGCUCCUCCGUGCUGUGUAAGAGCUUACUUGUGAUCCACAAGAAGCACCGCCGCCGCCGGAGCACCGCCGAGCCUCGCCGCUGUUCAAAGCCUUAGUCCCUCCGCCCAAGUCUGCUUCUUCCCGACCCCAAGCUUUCCUUGUAAGACGAAGGUAAGCUGCCGACCCCUUUUCCGCCUCGUCCAACCCUUCUGUUUGUCCGACCCCUUUUCCGUCUCGCCCGACCCUGUCUGUUCUGCCGACCCUUGUCCGCUUCGCCCGACCCCUCUUAUCCGCCCGACCCUGUCUGUUCCGCUGACCCUUCUCCGCCUCGCCCGAGGACUCGACUGUAUCUUUUUUCCUUGACCCAAGGGUAUAUGUGUAAAACUUGGGGACCUUUCAGCGUUGAGUCUGAGGACCCCUAGCACACCAAAUCCUCUAGAUUAAGGGUCAGAUCCUAAGUUUCCUUCCUCCGACCCUUACCUCUUGAUCUCCACCCACUCCUUUGAACCUCCCCACCCUCCUGUUACAUGUCGCAAGUUUCUGGGCUCAGACUUGCAAGUGUUGCUGUUGAAAUAACCGUCUAAAAUGCUAACUCUUGCAUUGCUUUUCGUGUAGAGCUGCGUCUCGCCGACGGCUACUACGAGCUGCACCCAGUGCCAGAAGACGACGGUGUAGCCGAGCUCCUGCCCCCAGAAGCCGAAGCCGCCCAAGCAGAAGAGCAGCUUCCUCCUUUCUCGCUUGAAGGCAAGCCCCGGAUGCAUGAAUCCCCUAUGUUUUCCAAACUUGCGCAUGCCUUCCUUAAACAUGCUUGUGCAUUUACGUAUAGGAGUUGGUUGGAACCCUAGAUGCAUGACUUAGCUCUCAUGAUCUGAACACUAGCUGUUGGACCGAGUAACUGCUUUGCUUAAAUAGGAAGCGGUAAAAGUCGAGUGAUUUCCUGUCACUCGCGAGUUGUAGGAGUUGGUUGUCUUCCUCCUGUCACAACUGUAAGGACGAUGGACGGGGCAGGGUUUUGGGUAACUCUUUGGUGGUCGGUUGAUCGCCCCGUCUGUCUAUGAAACUUGCUAAGGCCCGACAGUGGUGGUGUUCGUGAUCAAGUGUUUGAAAGUACUAACCUCAUACUUAGUAUGGGAUGAGGAAGCCUAGUACUGGAUUGAACCUAAACGUGAGCAGUCGCCCCAUUGUUCUUGGAACGGAGUUUCCCCUGCUAGUUGUCGCACGUGGUGGCAAGCGUGGUCAUAGAACGGCAGAGGCCGGGUCUGUGGAACCUUGCACCAAAGGAAAUGGGCCCGACACGGGUUAGGGGAUUGAUGGGGAAGGCCGACACAGGAAGUGACCUCCGGGUGCGCGGAUGUCGUGAGGUUAGGUUCACCAUGCAUGGUUAAAGAACUCGAAUCGAUUCGUCUGCCUCUCACAGUUUGAGACUGCUUGAUCGCUAUGCUACCCUGAGUAAGAAAGAAAUAUAAUGAUGACAUGGUCUUGAUGAUGUUAUAUAUAUACCUUUGGUUGGUUCUAUGAUUGCUUAGAAUAGGUUGCAAAACUUAGACCGGAUAAUGAACUUAGAACCGGAGCUAAAACAUGAAAAUAGGGUUUUACUUAGUGCUUCUUGGCAAUCAAACCCCCUCAGCCAAAGAGCCUUGCAUGUCUAGUUUUUGUGGAGUUGUUACUCCUGUCGGUUAAGUCUUGUUGAGCUUAGUAGCUCAGCCUUGUUGUGGCUCCUGUUUUUCAGGUGAAGUUGCUGCUCCCGAGCCUUCUUCCGCUGGCACUUGGCCGUCCCAGCUCCCUCCGGGUUGGACGGUCGAGUGGGAUCCCUCCUCGAACAGCGAGGAAAGGGAUCACUGACGUCUUGGCUGGCCUCACCAAGGACGUCCGACCCCUGCGUUUAGCUUCCGCUUGCUGUUUUACCUUCUGUUGUUUUCUUUUGGAACCUUGUAAAACUCUGAUUUGUUUUUCUGGCCGAAUUAAAUGGUUAAGUUGUUCAACUCGGUGGACUUGUUGUAUUCUCUGGAACCACUCACCUUCGUGUGAGGUUGCUAACUCGAUCCUGUUCAUGUGGUUAAUCGGGUGAAAUCCGACGGCUCUUUGUGUUAACUUGGCUUAGGCAUGGGUGUCGCAUGUUAGGUGACUUAACCCUGUUUAAUCAAGUUAAUCCGAAGUGGAUCCGCCACAGCUGGUACCAGAGCAGGUUAGCAACACAGAGAAAACAACAAGCCCUCACACACUUCUUUGAAAAGAUAAAAGUUGCAAGAAACUCUUUGAAAAAUCUCGUACGAUCGUUAAGGAUGACUUUAGUGCGAGAAGCCCUAAGGGAUUUUGGGGUUGUUUUAGGUGGCUAAUAUUUUAUCUGGUUAUCUUGCUAACCCUUCCAGCACUUCGCCAUGUUUAUCAUACAUGUGCCGAGUUCCGCAUCACGAGUAUGCGAGGGUUGAUAGGGAGUUCUAUUCAAAGGACCCUAUCGUCGCGGUUGUUUCGCCCACGUCUAUCAUACGUGCGCAGGUUCCGUAUGUAAUCCAUACGAAGGUUGGUACGGUUCGAUUCCAAUGAGCCUAUCAGCACGGUUGUUCGCCACGUCUAUUAUACGUGCGCUGAUUCCGCAUCACGAGUAUGCGAAGGGUUAUACGGUUCCAUUCAAAGGGAACCUAUUUCCACGGUUGAGAGCUGUCCAUGCAGCCUUAAACGCAUGGGUGUCGAUCCUAUAGUGAGCGGUAAUGUUUGGGAACGCUUUCGUGGGUGCUGGCAUGAAAGGUUCGUCUGUGGUGGUGUUUUUCUGCAGGUACACUAACCGCGUUCGCUUAGGAGACGUUGCUAGAACCGACUAGCUAUUAUAGGGAGAGACGUACUUGUUGCCUUGCCACCGGCACUAACUGCGUAAGACCAAGUUUUGGCAGUUGUUUUGGUUGAGAACAAGGUAGACCGUUCAUGCGACAUAAACUAAAAUCUGUUAAGUCACCCUCCUCAAUAGCAACCUUGCUCGAAGAAGCUCUUCUUCGGUUCUAAGGAUUUCUAGUUUCUUCCAGCUUGUUCUCAGUUAAAAUCUGGAUGCUUUCUUUGUCUGACCCCUGACCCUUGGAGUCCAUCUCACGUGGUUUUGGUUUCUUGGUUCCAGAUGGCCGUCCCCGGACACGUUUUGUUUGGAGCGGAUGGCACCUUCCAUUCAACGUGUCUACACUUCGAGGGCUUCCCCGCGAUCUUGUGGGAUACCUUGAAAUGGUUCGGGUACCAGUCCCCACCGUUGUAUGCGGGACGACUGUACCUGGAGCAAGGCAUCCAGACGUGCAACGUACAGGCGGUAGUACCUCCUCCUCCUGUGCGGCCCGACUGGCCCUCGUUCGGGAUAUCAGCAUAUGGUCUUGCCCCAGAAGACACCUGGGAGUCCGCCGCCCUUCAACUCCUUACUCGAUUCUGUCAGUUACACCCACUGGAGGUCACCCUAGACCCCAUUGGCCUGUUCCCUGCCAGGAACCGGCUGGAUCCGGCGUGGCUCGACCGCGUCGGAAAUAUCGAGGUGCUGGCCACCACCUACUCUAUGGUCACCAUCACCACCAACAUCCGGUGUAUGACAGCCCUCUAUCGGAUGAUUGAGCUCCAAGGAAGAGCCAUGACCAUUCUUGCUCGGACCGCCGUGGAUGCCCAAGGACACCUCCAGGCCGCCAGAAGAGACCUGGUAGGCCAAACCUAUCAGCUUAUCCAACGAGGCGUUCAGAUCCAUGACAUGCAAGACAGAAUUUCUGAGCUCGAAAGAGAAGUAUCCGACCUGGUGGACGGCAUGAUCGAGCUAUCAGAGGAGAAAAUGGAAGUGGAAAUGGAGCUGGCGGUUGCCAAUACUCACCUGGACGAGCAUCAAGCCGAGCUUGACGAUAUGCACGCCCUCCAUAUGCAACUAGAAGCUCAAGAGGACCCCGAGGAGGUUGAGGGAGCGUCCAGUAUGGACAUUGAAGAGGAUGGCGCCCCUUCUCCUACUCAUAGUGUUCAUUUGUAGAUGAAGAGUUGCAAGGAACUCAUUCUUUUGUUGUACUCCUCGGCAGCCUAAUUGUUGGAAAGAUCUGUAAUAGGUUAGCCUUGAGUCGAGUACUCCCUGUGUUUGGAACACCUCUGUAAAAAAAAAGAUCCCAAUGAAAUCAAAUCCUGAGUCUGACCUUUAACUCUUUGGCAAAGUGUUGGAAUGUUAGACUAAGUAAGUUGUGCAGUGACCACACACGUUGUUUUCUGUGGGUCUGUUCAAGUUUGGCCGACCCUGGUUCGUGAGAUCGGAUGCGGCCGACCCCUCGAGGCAUUUCUCCGCCUCGCCCGACCUUUCGAGGCAGUCUCCGCCUCGCCCGACCCCUUUUUAGUGUGGAUCGUUGCCGACCCCUUUUUCUCGGGAUGAUCGCCUAGCCCGACCCCUUGGCUUAAGUUCAGAUGUAAGGGAAUUCCAGGAGUCUGGGUAGGGUAUGGUUCGCCCGAAGUCGAGUACACAUGUAACGACCGACCCCUAAGCCUUCCCAGUUAGGCUUAAUCCCAUCCCUUAACCUUAGUCAGCUGUUUGGCUUGACCGCACCUAAGUGCCCAGUUUUCCGCCGGUCCCGACCCCUGAGAUCCGACCCUUGCCUGCUUCGCUCCUCUCCCGACCCCGGCGAGCUCAGUUCACCGUCAGAUCCUGCUGAACUCCCUCCCCCAUCAGAUCUAUCCACAGGUGGACCCGCGAGAUCUUUUCCAGAUCCCCCGCGACAGCCGCACUCGGGUUGCAUGGCCGCCCCCAGAGUUUCCUUGCCGCGUGGCUCGUUUUCUCCGACGCCACCGCUCAGUUUUGUCUCAGGCAAGCAGCAGAGUGGGUUCCCGCGCCCCUUUUCCCCAAUAGCAGCGGAAGCCCUCUGCACCCCUUUCUGCAGAGCCUCGCCUCACGCGCCCAUCAUCACGCUACCAGAUCCCGGCCCCGGAGACCGAUGUCGCCCGUCUUUUCCGUCCCUUCAGCCACAGUUGCGCCGCCCGGUCGUCGCUACACGACGAUUCCUCUACCGCCAACCCCGACCGCGGCCGCGACAGUUCCUUUCCCCGCUCUGUCAGAAGCCGCCCGACAAUCUGUUGUUCCGCGCUCUCCCCCGCGCCCGCGUUCGGCUGUCUUCUCAGCUGUGCGCCCUCGAUCCUAGCGCCGUUUAACCGGUCGCUUCUAUCACCUCUUCCGCACGACGACGCCCGCUCUCCGCCAAAUCCCAACCACCAGUCUACUCGCCCCUACGCUGCCCUGACGGCAGAACGCAAUGAUCGCUAGCGUCACCCCCGGAGUUCUGCAGCACCGCCCUCUUUGCUCAAUCGCCGCCACGGCAGAGCACUCCAUUGCUUCUCCCCGGCCUUCGCGCCGCUCCCCUUCUCUCUCUCCGCGCCGUUUCCGUUCCUUUACCUCAGCAGCUAUAAAAGGAAUGCCCCCGCCGUCGGAGUUCCCUCCGCUCUUGUUGCCCUUAGCUUCUCUCGCUACCUGCCCAAGCUCCUAGCGCCAUACACCAAGUCUUGAGGAGCUCUGCUCUCAGAUUCUCUCAGUUUUCUCCAAGUCACCCAGCAGCUUGCUCCCCGUGCUGCGUAAGAGCUCUCUUGUGUUCCGCAAGAAGCAGCGCCGCCGCCGGAGCAUUGCCAGUCUUAGCCCUUGCUCGAAGCCUUAGUUCCUCCGCCCAAGUCUGCUUCUUCCCGACCCCAAGCUUUCCUUUCAGGAAGAAGGUGAGUUGCCGACCCCCAGUCCGCCUCGCCCGACCCCUCCUAUCCGCCCGACCCCAGUUCCGUCUCAUCCGACCCCGUCUGUUCGGCCGACCCUUAUCCGCCUCGCCCGAGGGCUUGGCUGUGAUCUUUUUCUUCAACUCGAGGGUGUAUGUGUAAAACUUGGGAAACCUUCAGCGCUUGCGUCUAAGGACCCCGGGUUUCUCACGUCCUCUAGUUCAAGGAUCAGACCACUAGUUCUUUUUCCACCCUUACCUUUUGGUUAGCAUCAGCUCUCGAACCACCAUCGCCUCCUGCUCUUUGUCGCGAGUUUCUGGGCUCAGGCAAGCCAGUGUUGCUGUUGAACUAACUGUCUGAGCUAACCCUUGCAUUGCAUUCGUGUAGAGCUGCACCUCGCCGACGGUUUCUACGAGCUUCACCCGGCGCCCGAAGAAGAAGCUGUAGCCGAGUUCCUGCCCUCCGAAGUCGAAGUCGCUCCCGGAGCCGAGCAGUUCCCAUCCUCCUUGCUUGAAGGCAAGCCCCGGUUGCAUCAGAGUCCUACGUGUUUUACCAGACUUGCGCAUGCCUUCUGCAUCAUGCCUGUGCAUUUACGUAUAGGAGUUGUUUGAAACCCUAGAUGCAUGCCUGAGUUAUCCCCAUGAUCUGAACACUAGCUGUUGGACCGAGUAGCUGCAUUGCUUAACUAGGAAAACGGUAAAAGCCGAGUGAUUUCCUGUCACUCGCGAGUUAUAGGAGUUGCAUGUUUACUUUCCUGUUAUAACUAUAAGGACGAUGGACGGGGCAGGGUUUGGGUAACUCUUUGGUGGAUGGAUGUUAGCCCCGUCUGUCUAUGAAAAUUUGCUAAGGCCCGAUAGUGGUGGUGUUCGUGAUCAAGUGUUUGAAAGUACUAGCCUCAUACUUAGUAUGGGAUGAGGAAGCCUAGUACCGGAUUGAACCUAGACGUGAGCGGUCGCCCCAUUGUUCUUGGAACGGAGUUUCCCCUGCUGGUUGUCGCACGUGGUGGCAAUGUGUGGUCACAGGACGGCAGAGGCCGGUUCUGUGGAACCUUGCACCAAAGGAAAUGGGCCUGACACGGGUUAGGGGAUUGAUGGGGAAGGCCGACACAGGAAGCGACCUCCGGGUGCGCGGAUGUCGUGAGGCUAGGUUCACCAUGCAUGGUUAAAGAACUCGAAUCGAUUCGUCUGCCUCUCACAGUCUGAGAUUGCUUGAUCGCUAUGUCACCCUGAGUAAUUGAGGAAUCUGAUGAUGGCAAUGUUGUUUGUUAUAUCUACACAUCUUGUUUGGCUCUACGGUUUCUUAGAAUAGUUGGCAAAACCUAGAUCGGUUAAUCAACUUAGAACCGGAGCUAACACUUGAAAAGAGGUUAUACUUAGUGCUUUUGGCAAACAAACCCCUCAGCCAAGAAGCCUUGCAUGUCUAGUAGGAGGAGUAGUCCUUACUCCUAUCGGUUAAGUCUUGUUGAGCUUAGUAGCUCAGCCUUGUUGUGGCUUCUGUUUUCAGGUGAAGUUGCCGCGUCCGACCCCUCUCUGGUUGGUGCUUGGCUGCCCCAGCUCCCGCCAGGCUGGACGGUCGAGUGGGACCCCUCCUCGGACGGCGAGGAGAGGACUCAGUGAUGUUCCGGCUGGCCUCGCCCGGACAUCCGACCCUGACGAAGUCUUCCGCUAGUGUUUCUCUGUCGUUUUCUUUGAGCUCUGUAAAACUCUGAUGUUAAUUUUUUUUGGCCGAACUAAUGGAGUAAGACUUGCUUAACUCACUGGACUUGUUGUAUUCUCUGUAACCGCUCACCUUCGUGUGGGUUUGCUAGACUCGAUCCUGUUUAAGUGGUUAAAUCGGAUGAAAUCCGACGGCACUUCGUGUUAGCUCGAGUUAGGCAGGAGUGUCGCAUGUUAGGCGGCUUAACCCUGUUUAAUCAAGCUAAUCCGAGGUGGUUCCGCCACAGCUGGUAUCAGAGCCGUGUUUAGCAUUCAGAGAACCCAAUGAGCCCUAAACACUUCUUUGAAAGGAUAAAAAUUGCAAGAAACUUUUGAAAAUCUCGUACGGUCGUUAAGGAUGACUUAGUGCGAGAGGCCCUAGGGGAUUUUGGGGUUGUUUCAGGUGACUAAUAAGUACUUGGUUAUGUUGCUAACCCCUCCAGCACUUCGCCACGUUUAUCAUACGUGUGCCGAGUUCUGCAUCGCGAGUAUGCGAGGGUUGAUAGGUAGCUCCAUUCAAAGGACCCUAUCUUCACGGUUGUUUUCGCCCACAUCUAUUACACGUGCGCAGGUUCCGUAUGUGUUCCAUACGAAGGUUGGUACGGCUCGAUUCCAACGAGCCUAUCGGCACGGUUGUUUCGCCACGUCUAUCAUACGUGUGCUGAUCCCGCAUCACGAGUAUGCGAAGGGUUAUAUGGUUCCAUUCAAGGGAGCCUAUUUCCACGGUUGAGUGCUGUCCAUGCAGCCUUAAACGCAUGGGUGCCGUUCCUAUAGUGAGCGGUAAUGUUUGGGGACGCUUUCGUGGGUGCUGGCACGAAAGGUUCGUGUGUGGUGUUCUUCUGCAGGUUGCUAACCGCGCUCGUUAAGACGUCGCUAGAACCGACUAGAUAUUAUAGGGAGAGACGUAUUGUUGCCUUGUCACCGGCGCUGACCGCGUAAGACCCAAAGUUCGGGCAGUUGUUUUGGUUAAGAGUACGGUAGGCCGUCCAUGCGUCAUGCGGUCCCUUUUUCUCAGCAGCAACCCUGUCCGAAAGAGUUCUUUUGAUCUAAGGAUUUCUAGUUUCUCUUAGUUGCUCUCGGUGAAACCUGUCUGCUUUUCUCUCCGACCCCUGAUCCUUGGAUCUAUCUCACGUGUUUCCGGUUUUCUUGGUUCCAGAUGGCUGUUCCCGGGCAUGUUGUUUUUGGAGCGGACGGUACUUUCCAGUCAACGUGCCUGCAUUUCGAGGGUUUUCCCGCGAUAUUGUGGGAUACGCUGAAAUGGUUUGGGUAUCAGUCCCCGCCAUUGUAUGCCGGGCGGUUGUAUAUGGAACAGGGCAUUCAGACAUGCCAGGUGCAGGCGUUGGUGCCACCUCCCCUUGUGCGGCCCGACUGGCCCUCCCUGGGCAUAAUAGCCUAUGGUCUUUCUCCGGAAGAUACGUGGGAGUCUGCUGCCCUUCAGUUGCUCACCCAGUUCUGUCAGUUGCACCCGGUGGAGAUCACGCUGGAUCCGAUCGGUCUUUUUCCCGUCAGGAGUCGGCUGGACCCGGCCUGGCUGGACCGCAUCGGAAACCUUGAGGUGCUGGCCACCACCUGUGCUAUGGUCACCAUCUCCACCAACGUCCGUUGCAUGGCUGCCCUCUACAGGUUGAUAGAGCUCCAGGGAAGAGCUAUGACUCUCUUCGCCUGUACGGCUGCCGAUACCUACGGUUACCUCCAGGCAGCAAGAAGAGACCUGGUAGGCCAAACCUACCAGCUGAUCCAACGUGGUAUCCAGAUCCACGAUAUGCAAGAUAGAAUCUCCGAGCUAGAAGGAGAAGUUGCCGACCUCAUGGACGGCAUGAUAGAACUCUCGGAGGAAAAGAUGGAGGUAGAAAUGGAGCUAGCAGUCGCCAAUGCCCAUCUAGAGGAGCACCAAGCCGAGCUCGAGGAUAUGCAUGCCCUCAACAUGCAGCACGAAGCUCAGGAGGACCCUGAGGAAGAUGAGGGAGCGUCCAGCAUGGACAUAGAAGAAGAUGGCGCCCCUUCUCCGACUCAUAGUGUCCAGUGGUAGCUUAAGGGUUCUCAGGGAACCUUCUUUCUUUUUGUUGUACUCCUCGGCAGCCUAGUUUUUGGAAAAGCUGUAAUAGGUUAGCCUUGAGUUGAGUACUCUCUGUGUUGAAACAUCGUUGUGCAUAAAGUUAACCCCGGUGCAUAGUUUCUCCUUUUCGUAUGGUGUGGAUGCUGGGUUGAGUAAGUGCGCUGUAACCCUAUGCUGUUUUCGGGGAGCCUGUUCAGUUGGUCGACCCUAGUUUGCGAGUCAGAGUGCGCCGGCCCUUGAGGCAGUCUCCGCCUCGUCUGACCCUUUCAAGUAUGGACUGUGUCCGACCCCUUGGUUUGCGUGGAUCAGAUUCUCGGAGUCUGUAUGUGGCAUGUGUGCCGGAAGUGGAGUACCAGGAUAAGUAGAGGUUAUCUAUGCUGAAAAUGGGAGGAAUGUGCUUCCUCUAUGCGGACGUGUGAUGCACCAUUGGCAAGAGUCACAUUAAAGGAAUUAAUUCAUACGUUCCCAUUUGUUGGAGUGCACCUAAGGAUAUGAGAAUUAAUGGGGCGUUAACUCUUGCAGAUGGCGCACCGCACGAGGUCUGGAACUAUGCCCAGUGGUAGUGAUCAGCGACAGGAUCUUCCCCCGCCCCCGCCCCCGUCGCCAUUGGAGGCCAUCCUAGCAACUCAAACCGAGCUGCUAAGGCAUCUGGUGCAAGGACAACACCAGCAGCCACAUGGUGGAAGAGCACAGCAGCAGCCGCAUGUCGCGCGGUACGAGGACUUUCUGGGGACACAGCCCCCGCUGUUCCAAAAGACACAAGAACCGCUCGACGCUGAUGCAUGGGUUCGUACGAUCGAAUCCAAGUUCGAGCUCCUUACCGCUCCAUGCCCCGACAACAACAAGGCGCGGUUUGCAGCUCAGCAGCUGCGUGGCUCCGCACGACUUUGGUGGGACCACUACCAUGCCAUGCUGCCUGCUGGCCACAUGGUCAGUUGGAACGAGUUCAAGACGGCGUUCAGAGCGCAUCACAUUCCCGAAGGUCUCCUGGAGCGUAAGCUCCACGAGUUUCUGGCCCUCACUCAAGGAACUUGGGAUGUGCUGCAUUACGCCCAAGCUUUCAAUGACCUAUGCCGCUAUGCUGGUUAUCAUGCGGACACCGAUGAGAAGAAGCGGGACCGAUUCCGCCAAGGACUGAGCUUCGAGCUCAGGGAGAGGCUGAACCCCAUCAGGGUGGACACCUACAACGAGUUGGUCAACCUGGCCAUCUCUCAGGAGGACUGCAUGCAAGCUCUCAAGGCCGACCAGAAGCGGAAGGCCUCUGUGGCAUUUCCGAGUCCCCCGACUCGAAGGUUCCGGAUGGUUCCUCCACAAACCCCUGGCUGACCCCAGCAGUCAGGGAAAUGGAUCGCCCGACCCCCGCCGGCAACAACACCUCGUUUUCCAGGCUUCCAACCGCAAGUGCCCCGGCCGACCCUGCUAACGCCGCUUCGCCCGACAGCCAGUAAUCGGUGUUUUACCUGCGACAAUGAAGGACACUUCGCAAAGGACUGCCCCAGGAACAAGAAUCAGCAACAAGGUCAGAACCCCAUGGCAGCCAGAGGAAGAAGGCCCAAGGUGCAAGUCCGACAAGGCCGACUCAACUACACCAGCUUGACCGAACUUCCCGAAGGUGCGUCAGUAAUGACGGGUGCUUUCCUUGUUUUAAAUCAAACUGUUGUUGUGUUGUUUGAUUCGGGAGCUUCUCAUAGCUUUAUCGGGAAUAAGGCAAGGGAAAGAUGUGGGCUAAGUGUCGGUCACACUAAGGAACCCUAUGUGAUCGCCACUCCUGGAGGAAGGAUAACGUCGGAUCAGGUCGUUAUUCUUGCACCUCUCCAGGUAGGCCCCACCCUCUUCAAGGAAAACCUUAUCAUCCUUGACCUGAAAGGCAUAGAUGUCAUCCUUGGUAUGGACUGGAUGGCCCGACAUCAUGUUGUUCUAGAUACCUCAGCCCGAUCUCUUUACAUCAGCUCGCCCUCUCAUGGCAGUUCUACCCUAUCUUUAACCCAUCCUGAGUCUUCGACUCCUUGUGCUUACCCUCUCUUGGGAGCCCGUCUAGAAGACCUCCCUGUUAUCUGUGAGUACCCUGAUGUGUUUCCAGAAGAUUUGCCGGGUAUGCCACCUGAUAGAGAAGUGGAGUUUUCCAUAAAGUUGAUUCCUGGCACAGCUCCGAUAUCUAAGAGACCCUAUCGGAUGCCACCCGCUGAGUUAGCUGUGUUGAAAACCCAGUUGCAUGAUCUGUUGGAAAAAGGUUUCAUUCGACCCAGUACAUCAUCUUGGGGUUGCCCCGCCCUGUUUGUGAAGAAGAAAGACGGCAGUUUACGGAUGUGUGUGGAUUACCGACCCCUCAAUGCGGUAACAAUCAAGAAUAAGUACCCGCUGCCACGCAUUGAUGUCUUGUUCGAUCAAUUAUCUGGAGCAAAAGUGUUCUCCAAGAUCGAUCUUCGUUCUGGUUAUCACCAAAUCAAGAUUCGACCCUGUGACAUACCCAAGAUAGCUUUCUCUACCAGAUAUGGACUGUACGAGUACCUAGUCAUGUCCUUUGGACUCACCAAUGCACCCGCCUAUUUCAUGUAUCUUAUGAACUCGGUGUUCAUGCCCGAGCUGGACAAGUUUGUAGUGGUGUUCAUUGAUGAUAUCCUAGUGUACUCGAAGGACGAGAAAGAGCAUGCCGACCAUCUUCACAUAGUUCUCCAACGUCUGAGAGAUCACCAGCUUUAUGCUAAGUUCUCCAAGUGUGAGUUUUGGUUAGAUAGUGUCAAGUUUCUUGGACACACUAUCUCUAAGGAUGGUAUCGCCGUGGAUCCCAGCAAGGUGCAAGAAGUCAUGGAAUGGAAGUCUCCUACCUCAAUACACCAGAUCAGGAGUUUCCUUGGACUUGCAGGUUACUAUCGGCGUUUUAUACCGGAUUUCUCCAAGAUAGCUAAGCCGAUGACUGAGUUCCUAAAGAAAGAGGCCAAGUUUGUGUGGGACGUCAAGUGUGAAAAAGCCUUCAAGACCCUGAAGCACUUGCUAACCACCGCCCCAGUUUUGGCUCAACCCGACCCCUCUAGGCCGUAUGACGUAUACUGUGACGCCUCUGGCACUGGACUCGGAUGUGUUCUUAUGCAAGACAGACGAGUCAUUGCCUAUGCCUCACGUGCGUUACGACCUCAUGAGCUAAACUACCCGACACAUGACCUUGAGUUGGCAGCAGUGAUACAUGCCUUAAAGAUAUGGAGGCACUAUCUAAUGGGAUCUCACUGCAACAUCUACACCGACCACAAGAGCCUCAAGUACAUCUUCACUCAAGCCGACCUCAACAUGCGUCAGAGAAGAUGGCUAGAGUUGCUAAAGGAUUACGAGUUGGAAGUGCACUAUCAUCCUGGCAAGGCCAAUGUGGUAGCCAAUGCCCUCAGUCGCAAACCCCAUUGCAACUGCUUGUUGUCGACAGCCUUCACCAAAACCCUGUGUCACGAGAUGGGAAAGCUAAGUUUGGAGAUUGUUCCUCAUGGAACCCUUGGUCACAUCAUCCUUAACUCAGUUUUGGAGGACCAAAUUCGGUCAGCACAAGUUAAGGAUGAAGAAAUAAAACGGAUCAUCAGCAAGAUCUCAGUAAAAGAUGAAGGAUAUAAGCAAUUCCGUCAGGACGAAACGGGAGGUGUGUAUUAUGGAAACAGACUAGUAGUGCCCGCCGACCCCGAGUUAAGGAAGCAAAUCCUAGAUGAAGCUCAUCUCUCCAAGUUCUCGAUCCAUCCUGGUAGCAAUAAGAUGUACUAUGAUCUUCGUCAAACCUUUUGGUGGAGUGGAAUGAAACCAGAGAUAGCUCGUUAUGUUUCAGAAUGUGACACCUGUCAACGUGUCAAGGCCAGUCAUUUGAAGGUAGCAGGAACCUUGCAGCCGCUACCUAUUCCCUCUUGGAAAUGGGAAGACAUCAGCAUGGACUUCAUAGUUGGAUUACCCGUUACAACUCAACGGUAUGAUUCCAUCUGGGUUAUCGUGGAUCGUCUGACCAAGACGGCACACUUCCUACCUGUUCGUACCACCUACACAGUCAAGCAAUAUGCAGAGUUGUACCUCGACCGUAUCGUUUCCUUACAUGGUGUACCCAAGACUAUCGUCUCGGAUAGAGGAGUUCAGUUUGUGGCACGUUUUUGGGAACAACUAGAAGCAUCUAUGGGCACCAAGCUCAUCCGAAGCUCGACAUAUCAUCCUCAGACCGAUGGCCAAACCGAGAGAGUCAACCAGAUUCUUGAAGAUAUGUUAAGAGCCUGUGUUAUCCACUAGGAUAAAAACUGGGACAAAUGUUUGCCCUUAGCGGAAUUCUCCUACAAUAACAGCUAUCAGGCCAGUUUGAAGAUGGCACCAUUUGAGGCCCUGUAUGGCAGGAGAUGCAGGACACCCUUGAACUGGUCCCAACCAGGAGAAAGGCAGGUCUAUGGCCCUGACUUAGUGGCAGAAGCCGAAGAGCAAGUGAAGGUAAUUCAAGCGAAUCUCACAGCUGCCCAAUCUCGACAAAAGAGUUACUCCGACCAGCGAAGAAGACCCCUGCAGUUCGACCUUGGUGAUCAUGUGUAUCUUCGAGUCUCCCCGACCAAAGGAGUGCAACGGUUUGGAAUAAAAGGCAAGUUAGCGCCUCGCUAUGUUGGCCCUUAUGAGAUUGUGGAGAUAUGUGGACCCGUUGCUUACCGGAUCCAACUCCCAGAGCAGCUGUCGGCAAUACAUGAUGUUUUUCAUGUGUCUCAACUGAAGAAAUGUGUCCGAGUUCCAACAGAGAUCUUAGAACAAGCACAGCUUCAGGUAGAGCCCGACCUGACCUACGCCGAGUACCCAGAUCGAGUUCUUGACCAAAAGGAAAGGCACACACGACGCCAAGUGGUAAAGAUGUACAAGAUCCUUUGGAGAAAACACACCGAAGACGAAGCAACAUGGGAAACGGACGAAUAUCUGAACAAGCGUUUUCCAGGUUUUCUGUCCCAUCAAGGAGGUAAGAACAGCACACCCUUUUGAUCUCUGAAUCUCGGGACGAGAUUCUUUUAAGGGGGGUAGGCUGUAACGACCGACCCCUAAGCCUUCCCAGUUAGGCUUAAUCCCAUCCCUUAACCUUAGUCAGCUGUUUGGCUUGACCGCACCUAAGUGCCCAGUUUUCUGCCGGUCCCGACCCCUGAGAUCCGACCCUUGCCUGCUUCGCUCCUCUCCCGACCCCGGCGAGCUCAGUUCACCGUCAGAUCCUGCUGAACUCCCUCCCCCAUCAGAUCUAUCCACAGGUGGACCCGCGAGAUCUUUUCCAGAUCCCCCGCGACAGCCGCACUCGAGUUGCAUGGCCGCCCCCAGAGUUUCCUUGCCGCGUGGCUCGUUUUCUCCGACGCCACCGCUCAGUUUUGUCUCAGGCAAGCAGCAGAGUGGGUUCCCGCGCCCCUUUUCCCCAAUAGCAGCGGAAGCCCUCUGCACCCCUUUCUGCAGAGCCUCGCCUCCCGCACCCAUCAUCACGCUACCAGAUCCCGGCCCCGGAGACCGAUGUCACCCGUCUUUUCCGUCCCUUCAGCCACAGUUGCGCCGCCCGGUCGUCGCUACACGACGAUUCCUCUACCGCCAACCCCGACCGCGGCCGCGACAGUUCCUUUCCCCGCUCUGUCAGAAGCCGCCCGACAAUCUGUUGUUCCGCGCUCUCCCCCGUGCUCGCGUUCGCCUAUCUUCUCAGCUGUGCGCCCUCGAUCCUAGCGCCGUUUAACCGGUCGCUUCUAUCACCUCUUCCGCACGACGACGCCCGCUCUCCGCCAAAUCCCAACCACCAGUCUACUCGCCCCUACGCCGCCCUGACGGCAGAACGCAAUGAUCGCUAGCGUCACCCCCGGAGUUCUGCAGCACCGCCCUCUUUGCUCAAUCGCCGCCACGACAGAGCACUCCAUUGCUUCUCCCCGGCCUUCGCGCCGCUCCACUUCUCUCUCUCCGCGCCGUUUCCGUUCCUUUACCUCAGCAGCUAUAAAAGGAAUGCCCCCGCCGCCGGAGUUCCCUCCGCUCUUGUUGCCCUUAGCUUCUCUCGCUACCUGCUCAAGCUCCUAGCGCCAUACACCAAGUCCUGAGGAGCUCUGCUCUCAGAUUCUCUCAGUUUUCUCCAAGUCACCCAGCAGCUUGCUCCCCGUGCUGCGUAAGAGCUCUCUUGUGUUCCGCAAGAAGCAGCGCCGCCGCCGGAGCAUUGCCAGUCUUAGCCCUUGCUCGAAGCCUUAGUUCCUCCGCCCAAGUCUGCUUCUUCCCGACCCCAAGCUUUCCUUUCAGGAAGAAGGUGAGUUGCCGACCCCCAGUCCACCUCGCCCGACCCCUCCUAUCCGCCCGACCCCAGUUCCGUCUCGUCCGACCCCGUCUGUUCGGCCGACCCUUAUCCGCCUCGCCCGAGGGCUUGGCUGUGAUCUUUUUCUUCAACUCGAGGGUGUAUGUGUAAAACUUGGGAAACCUUCAGCGCUUGCGUCUAAGGACCCCGGGUUUCUCACGUCCUCUAGUUCAAGGAUCAGACCACUAGUUCUUUUUCCACCCUUACCUUUUGGUUAGCAACAGCUCUCGAACCACCAUCGCCUCCUGCUCUUUGUCGCGAGUUUCUGGGCUCAGGCGAGCCAGUGUUGCUGUUGAACUAACUGUCUGAGCUAACCCUUGCAUUGCAUUCGUGUAGAGCUGCACCUCGCCGACGGUUUCUACGAGCUUCACCCGGCGCCCGAAGAAGAAGCUGUAGCCGAGUUCCUGCCCUCCGAAGUCGAAGUCGCUCCCGGAGCCGAGCAGUUCCCGUCCUCCUUGCUUGAAGGCAAGCCCCGGUUGCAUCAAAGUCCUACGUGUUUUACCAGACUUGCGCAUGCCUUCUGCAUCAUGCCUAUGCAUUUACGUAUAGGAGUUGUUUGAAACCCUAGAUGCAUGCCUGAGUUAUCCCCAUGAUCUGAACACUAGCUGUUGGACCGAGUAGCUGCAUUGCUUAACUAGGAAAACGGUAAAAACCGAGUGAUUUCCUGUCACUCGCGAGUUAUAGGAGUUGCAUGUUUACUUUCCUGUUAUAACUAUAAGGACGAUGGACGGGGCAGGGUUUGGGUAACUCUUUGGUGGAUGGAUGUUAGCCCCGUCUGUCUAUGAAAAUUUGCUAAGGCCCGACAGUGGUGGUGUUCGUGAUCAAGUGUUUGAAAGUACUAGCCUCAUACUUAGUAUGGGAUGAGGAAGCCUAGUACCGGAUUGAACCUAGACGUGAGCGGUCGCCCCAUUGUUCUUGGAACGGAGUUUCCCCUGCUGGUUGUCGCACGUGGUGGCAAUGUGUGGUCACAGGACGGCAGAGGCCGGUUCUGUGGAACCUUGCACCAAAGGAAAUGGGCCCGACACGGGUUAGGGGAUUGAUGGGGAAGGCCGACACAGGAAGCGACCUCCGGGUGCGCGGAUGUCGUGAGGCUAGGUUCACCAUGCAUGGUUAAAGAACUCGAAUCGAUUCAUCUGCCUCUCACAGUCUGAGAUUGCUUGAUCGCUAUGUCACCCUGAGUAAUUGAGGAAUCUGAUGAUGGCAAUGUUGUUUGUUAUAUCUACACAUCUUGUUUGGCUCUACGGUUUCUUAGAAUAGUUGGCAAAACCUAGAUCGGUUAAUCAACUUAGAACCGGAGCUAAAACUUGAAAAGAGGUUAUACUUAGUGCUUUUGGCAAACAAACCCCUCAGCCAAGAAGCCUUGCAUGUCUAGUAGGAGGAGUAGUCCUUACUCCUAUCGGUUAAGUCUUGUUGAGCUUAGUAGCUCAGCCUUGUUGUGGCUUCUGUUUUCAGGUGAAGUGGCCGCAUCCGACCCCUCUCUGGUUGGUGCUUGGCUGCCCCAGCUCCCGCCAGGCUGGACGGUCGAGUGGGACCCCUCCUCGGACGGUGAGGAGAGGACUCAGUGAUGUUCCGGCUGGCCUCGCCCGGACAUCCGACCCUGACGAAGUCUUCCGCUAGUGUUUCUCUGUCGUUUUCUUUGAGCUCUGUAAAACUCUGAUGUUAAUUUUUUUUGGCUGAACUAAUGGAGUAAGACUUGCUUAACUCACUGGACUUGUUGUAUUCUCUGUAACCGCUCACCUUUGUGUGGGUUUGCUAGACUCGAUCCUGUUUAAGUGGUUAAAUCGGAUGAAAUCCGAUGGCACUUCGUGUUAGCUUGAGUUAGGCAGGAGUGUCGCAUGUUAGGUGGCUUAACCCUGUUUAAUCAAGCUAAUCCGAGGUGGUUCCACCACAACACAGCUAAGAUAGAUGCUAACUAACAUGGCAAUGAGAAGAGUGUAUCUCCCUUAUUAGGAUGUGUGUUACUUUAUCAGCAGGAGUUGCAUCGGAGAAAUUUAACUUAUGCGUUCCAUCUGUUGGAGUACUUUUAAGAUUAUGAAUUUAAUGGAACGUUAACUCUUGCAGAUGGCGCAUCGCACCAGAUCUGGUUCUGUGCCCGGCAGCAGUGAGCAAAGAUAAGAUCUUCCCCCACCCCCACCCUCGUCUCCACUAGAGGCAAUCCUAGCGGCUCAAACCGAGCUGCUGAGGCAUCUUGUACAAGGACAACAGCAGCAGCCCCAUGGCGGAAGAGCUUAGCAGCAACCUCAUGUUGCUCGGUAUGAGGACUUCUUGGGGACACAGCCCCCUUUGUUUCAAAAGACAAAAGAACCGCUCGACGCCGACGCCUGGGUUCGUACGAUUGAAUCCAAGUUCGAGCUCCUCACCGCCCCGUGCCCCAACCAUAACAAGGCCCGGUUCGCAGCUCAGCAGCUGCGUGGUUCCGCCCGGCUCUGGUGGGACCACUACCAUGCUAUGUUGCCGGCUGGCCAUGUGGUCAACUAGAACGAGUUCAAGACCGCGUUUAGAGCGCAUCACAUCCUGGAAGGUCUCCUGGAGCGCAAGCUCAACAAGUUCCUGGCUCUUACCCAGGGAACCCGAGAUGUACUGCACUACGCCCAAGCUUUCAAUGACUUGUGCCGUUAUGCCGGCUAUCAUGCGGACACAGACGAGAAGAAGCGGGACAGAUUCCGCCGAGGACUAAGUUUGGAGCUCAGAGAGAGGUUGAACCCCAUCAAGGUGGAUACCUACAACGAGUUGGUCAACCUGGCCAUCUCACAAGAGGAUUGCAUGCAGGCUCUCAAAGCCAACCAGAAGAGGAAGGCCUCCGUGGCAUUUCCGAGCCAGCCAACUCGAAGGUUCAGGAUGGUUCCUCCACAAGCGCCCAGCCGACCCCAGUAGUCGGGAAGGUGGAUUGCCCGACCCCCAUCAGCAACAGCGCCCCGUUUUCCCGGCUUCCAACCACAGGCGCCCCGACCGACCCCACCAGCACCACCCCGCCCUGCAACUGGUAACCGCUGCUUCACCUGCGGCAAUGAAGGGCACUUUGCUAAGGACUGCCCCAGGAACAGAAAUCAGCAGCAUGGCCAGAACCCCAUUGCGAACAGAGGAAGAAGGCCCAAGGUGCAAGUUCGACAAGGACGGCUCAACUACACCAGCUUGACCGAACUCCCCGAAGGUGCGCUAGUGAUGACGGGUACUUUCUUUGUCUUAAAUCAAGCUGUUGUUGUGCUGUUUGAUUCGGGAGCCUCCCAUAGCUUCAUCGGGAGUAAGACUAGAGAAGGAUGUGAGCUGAGUGUCGGUCCCACUAAAGGAUCAUAUGUGAUCGCCACUCCGGGAGGGAAGAUAGCCUCGGAUCAGAUCAUUCCUCUUGUACCUCUCCAGCUAGGCCAAACUCUGUUUAAGGAGAAUCUUAUCAUCCUUGACCUGGAAGGAAUGGAUAUCAUCCUCAGGAUGGAUUGGAUGACCAGACACCAAGUGGUUCUAGAUACAGCUACCCGAAUUCUCCACAUCAACUCACCCUUUCAUGGCAGUUCUACCCUAUCCUUGAAACAUCCCAAAUCCGCACUUCCUUGUGCAUACCCUCUAUCGGAAGCCCGGCUAGAAAGCCUCCCUGUUGUCUGUGAGUACCCGGAUGUGUUCCCAGAAGACUUUCCUGGCAUGCCACCUGAUAGAGAUGUGGAGUUUUCCAUAGAGUUGAUCCCCGGCACCGCUCCGAUAUCCAAGAGACCCUAUCGGAUGCCGCCUGCCGAGUUGGCCGAGUUGAAGACCCAGUUGCAUGAUCUGUUGGAGAAAGGCUUCAUCCGACCCAGCACAUCACCUUGGGGUUGCCCCGCCCUGUUUGUGAAGAAGAAGGAUGGGAGUUUACGCAUGUGUGUGGACUACCGACCCCUCAAUGCGGUGACUGUCAAGAACAAGUACCCACUGCCACGCAUCAAUGUCUUGUUUGAUCAGUUAGCUGGAGCAAAAGUGUUCUCCAAGAUCGAUCUUCGUUCGGGUUAUCACCAAAUCAAGAUCCGACCCUGCGAGAUACCCAAAACAGCCUUCUCCACAAGAUAUGGACUCUACGAGUACCUAGUCAUGUCCUUUGGACUCACCAAUGCACCCGCCUAUUUCAUGUACCUCAUGAACUCGGUAUUCAUGCCCGAGCUGGACAAGUUUGUGGUGGUGUUCAUUGAUGAUAUCCUCGUGUACUCGAAGAGCGAAGAAGAACAUGCCAACCAUCUUCGCGUAGUUCUCCAAUGGCUGAGAGAUCAUCAACUCUAUGCCAAGUUCUCCAAGUGUGAGUUCUGGUUAGAUAGUGUCAAGUUUUUAGGACACUCUAUCUCCAAGGAUGGCAUAGCCAUCGACCCCAGCAAGGUACAGGAAGUCAUGGACUGGAAGCCUCCUGCCUCAGUGCACCAGAUCAGAAGUUUCCUUGGACUGGCAGGCUACUAUCGGUGUUUCAUACCGGAUUUCUCCAAGAUAGCUAAGCAGAUGACAGAACUGCUGAAGAAGGAGGUCAGAUUCGUGUGGAACGACAAGUGUGAAGAAGCAUUCAAGACCCUGAAGCACUUGCUGACCACAGCCCCAGUUUUGGCCCAACCCGACCCCUCUAGGCCGUUUGACGUGUACUGUGACGCCUCUGGCACUGGACUUGGGUGUGUUCUUAUGCAAGACAAUCGAGUCAUUGCCUAUGCCUCACGGGCGUUACGACCUCAUGAGCUGAACUACCUGACCCAUGAUCUUGAGUUGGCAGCAGUGAUUCAUGCCUUAAAAAUAUGGAGACACUACCUGAUGGGCACCCACUGCAACAUCUACACCGACCACAAGAUUCUCAAGUACAUCUUCACUCAAGCCGACCUCAACAUGCGCCAACGGAGAUGGUUAGAGUUGAUAAAAGACUAUGAUUUGGAAGUUCACUAUCAUCCCGGCAAGGCCAAUGUGGUGGCCGAUGCUCUUAGUCGCAAGACCUUUUGCAACUGCUUGUCGGCAACAACCUUCACCGAGACUUUGUGUCACGAGAUGGGAAAACUUAGUCUGGAAAUUGUUCCCCAUGGAACCCUCGGCCACAUAGCUCUUGAGUCUGUUUUAGAAGACCAAAUAAGGUCAGCACAAAUGGAGGAUGAGGAAGUAAAGUGGAUCACCAAGAAGAUCUCCUUGAAAGAUGAAGGAUAUAAGCAGUUUUGGCAGGACGAAACUGGAAACGUAUAUUAUGGAAACCGACUGGUUGUACCAUCCGACCCCAACCUUAAGAAGCAGAUCCUAGAUGAAGCUCAUCUCUCCAAGUUCUCAAUCCAUCCUAGCAGCAAUAAGAUGUACCAUGAUCUCCGUCAAACCUUUUGGUGGAGUGGAAUGAAGCCGGAAAUUGCCCGGUAUGUUUCAGAAUGUGACACCUGUCAACGUGUCAAAGCCAGCCAUCUAAAGGUAGCGGGUACCCUGCAGCCCCUACCUAUUCCCUCUUGGAAAUGGGAAGACAUCAGCAUGGACUUCAUAGUUGGACUGCCCCUUAGAUCACAGCGACAUGACUCCAUCUGGGUUAUAGUGGAUCGUCUGACCAAGACCGCCCACUUCCUUCCUGUCCGCACCACCCACACAGUCAAACAGUAUGCAGAGUUGUACCUCGACCGCAUAGUUUCCCUACACGGUGUACCUAAGACCAUCAUCUCUGAUCGAGGAAUUCAGUUUGUGGCACGCUUUUGGGAACAGCUACAAGCAUCCAUGGGCACCAAGCUCAUCCGUAGUUCAACCUAUCAUCCUCAAACCGAUGGUCAAACCGAAAGAGUCAAUCAAAUCCUGGAAGACAUGUUAAGAGCUUGUGUCAUCCACUAUGACAAGAAUUGGGACAAGUGCUUGCCCUUGGCGGAGUUUUCCUACAACAAUAGCUACCAGGCCAGUUUGAAGAUGGAACCAUUUGAAGCCUUAUAUGGCCGGAGAUGUCGGACACCUUUGAAUUGGUCACAAACUGGAGAAAGACAAACCUAUGGUCCUGACUUAGUGGUAGAAGCCAAAGAGCAAGUGAAGGUAAUUCAAGCAAAUCUCAAGGCUGCCCAAUCUCGACAGAAGAGCUACUCCGACAGACGAAGAAGACCCCUGCAGUUUGACAUUGGUGAUCAUGUGUAUCUUCGAGUCUCCCCGACCAAAGGAGUGCUACGGUUUGGAGUGAAAGGAAAGUUGGCUCCCCGCUACAUUGGCCCUUAUGAGAUUGUGGAGAUCUGUGGACCCAUUGCUUACCGGAUCCAACUCCCAGAACAGCUAUCGGCCAUACACGAUGUCUUCCAUGUGUCUCAACUGAAGAAAUGUGUCCAAGUUCCAACCGAGAUCUUAGAGCAAGAGCAGCUUCAGAUCGAGCCCGACCUAACCUACGCCGAGUACCCAGACAGAGUUCUUGACCAGAAGGAGAGGCAUACCCGGCGCCACGUGGUUAAAAUGUACAAGAUCUUAUGGAACAACCACACAGAAGAUGAAGCAACAUGGGAAACAGACGAGUAUUUGAACAAGCACUUCCCAGGUUUUCUGUCUCGUCAAGGAGGUAAGAACGGUACACCUUACUCUUACACCUGAAUCUCGGGACGAGAUUCUUUUUAAGAGGGGUAGGCUAUGACGACCGACCCCGAAAUCUUCCGAGUUAAUCUUAAUCCGAGCCUCUGAUCACCUGUCUUAGUUUUCCAAGCUUAAGUGUUCAACCUCCCGACCGGUCCCGACCCCUGAGACCCGACCCCUCUCCGCUGGCCUCCAGUUCCAACCCCGUCGACCCCAACUCACCGCCGGAUCUUUCUGAGUCAUCCCCCAACACCUCCCUUUAAUAUGACCGGUGGGCCCACAAGAUCUUUUCUCCCAGAUCCCCCGUGACAGGCGCACUCGAGUUGCAUGCUCGCUUCAGAGUUCCCCCGCCACGUGGCUCAACUCCUCCGACGUCCGCCGCUCGGCCUCGUCUUCGGCCCGCGACCAAAUUGAUUCUCGCGCCCUCCUCCCCAAUCGCAACGGAAGCCCCUCUGCAACCUUUCUGCAGCACCUCGCCGCCCGCGCCCAUCAUCACAUCGCUAGAUCCCGGCCGCAGAGCCCGAUGUCGCCCGUCUUUUCCGUCACCUCGCCACAGUCGCGCCGCUUGGUCUUCGCUACCCGACGAUUCCCCCUCCGCCAACCCCGACCACGGCAGCGACAGCUCCUUUUCCCGCCCUGUCAGAGGCCGCCCGACAAUCUAUUGCUCUGCGCUCGCCCGCGCACCCGCAGCCGCCUGUCUUCUCACCUGUGCGCCCUCGUUCCUAGCGCCGUUAUCCUGGUGACUUCCAUCAGCUCCACCGCACGACGACGCCCGCCUCCGCCAAAUCUUAACCACCGGCAAACCCGCGCCUGCGCCGCCCUGACGCCAGAGCCCAAUGACCACCGGCGUCAUCCCCGAAGUCCUGCUCCACCGCCCUUGUCGCUCAAUCGCCGCCCGGGCAGAGCACUCCAUUGCUUCCUCCCCGGCCUUCGCGCCGCUCCCCUUCUCACUCCAGCGCCGGUAUAAAAGGGAAUGCGCGAGCCCCGCCGGAGUCCCCUUCGCCAUUGCUACCCUUCCGCCAUUCCUCUUGCUCCCUGUUCGAGCUCCCAGCGCCACCACACUAAGUCCCUGAGGGAUUCUCCUCUCCGCUCCACACCAUUUUCCCCAAUCCACCCAGCAGCUUGCUCCUCCGUGCUGCGUAAGAGCUUACUUGUGAUCCACAAGAAGCACCGCCGCCACCGGAGCACCGCCGGGCCUCGUCGCUGUUCAAAGCCUUAGUCCCUCCGCCCAAGUCUGCUUCUUCCCGACCCCAAGCUUUCCUUGUAAGAUGAAGGUAAGCUGUCAACCCCUUUUCCGCCUCGUCCGACCCUUCUGUUCGUCCAACCCCUUUUCCGUCUCACCCGACCCUGUCUGUUCUGCCGACCCUUGUCCACUUCGCCCGACCCCUUUUAUCCGCCCGACCCCGGUUCCGUCUCGCCCGACCUUGUCUGUUCCGCCGACCCUUCUCCGCCUCGCCCGAGGACUUGGCUGUAUCUUUUUUUCCUUGACCUGAGGGUAUAUGUGUAAAACUUGGGGACCUUUCAGCGUUGAGUCUGAGGACCCCUAGCACACCAAAUCCUCUAGAUUAAGGGUCAGAUCCUAAGUUUCCUUCCUCCGACCCUUACCUCUUGAUCUCCACCCACUCCUUUGAACCUCCCCACCCUCCUGUU